This 2518-nucleotide ribosomal RNA is filed under the name human oral metagenome. RNAcentral's name for it is "bacterial LSU rRNA". It matches the Rfam family "Bacterial large subunit ribosomal RNA", at positions 309 to 2570 of the family's 2925-position model. The record is from RNAcentral.
AAGGUAAAAAAUCGGCGUGGUUAGCAGAACGAGUUGGAAAGCUCAGCCAGAGACUGUGAUAGCCAGGUAUGUGAAAACGACGCUGACCUUAUUCUGUAUUCUCGAGUAGGUCGGGGCACGAGAAACCCUGAUUGAAUCCGGCUGGACCACCAGCCAAGGCUAAAUAUAGUAUAUGAUCGAUAGUGAACUAGUACGGUGACGGAAAGGUGAAAAGAACCCCGGGAGGGGAGUGAAAUAGAACCUGAAAUUUUGUGCCUACAAGGAGUCGGAGCCCAGCACCUUUGAAAUCGAGUGGUACAAUGUAGGCGGAUGUUCUACGUGUACGUUUUGCAAAGUGAUCGGGAAUCAGAUCAAAUUUACUUCGGUCAGACUAGUGACUUAAGACGACGUCUCUCGGAGCAUAAUUCUGGCAAGGAUACUUAUACCAAGAUAUAUGCGCCAUGGAAGGUUGUCUAUUAUGAAGCCUAUUCAUCACGUAAGCUAGCAAUGGCCCGUGAGAGGCAGCUGAAAGCUUAUGGACAAGCCAGGACUGCUCUGAAGAAGAGACUAAAUUUGAUCUGAUACUCGAUUUCAAAGGUGCUGGGUGACGGCGUGCUUUUUGUAGAACGAUCCAGCGAGUUAAUUUUUACGGCGAGGUUAAGUCAGAUGACGAAGCCACAGUGAAAGCGAGCAUUAACAGUGCGAUUUAGUCGUAAGGAUUAGACCCGAAACCAGGUGACCUAACCAUGAGCAGGUUGAAGCAACCUUAAUCGGUUGUGGAGGACCGAACCAGUGUAUGUUACAAAAUGCUUGGAUGACUUGUGGUUAGCGGUGAAAUGCCAAUCGAACUUGGAGAUAGCUGGUUCUCCGCGAAAUAGUUAUAGGACUAGCGUCGUGUGAUAGCUUACGGGGGUAGAGCUCUGUCAAGAGAUAGGGGGAGCAAUCCUACCUACUCUUAAUAAACUACGAAUACCGUAUGUCUGUAUCACGGCAGUUAGAACGUCGGUGCUAAGAUCGGCGCUCAAAAGGGAAACAGCCCAGACCAUCAUCUAAGGUCCCCAAAUUUACGCUAAGUGGGAAACAAGGUGGAAUUUCUUAAACAGCUAGGAUGUUGGCUUAGAAGCAGCCAUUCAUUUAAAGAGUGCGUAACAGCUCACUAGUCAAGAGAUUCUGCGUGGAAGAUAUAACGGGGCUAAGCGUAAUACCGAAGAUAUGGAUUGCAAUUUAUUGCAGUGGUAGCGGAGCGUUCCUAUCAGCAGUGAAGCCAGACUGUUAAGUACUGGUGGAGCGUUAGGAAGUGAGAAUGCUGGAACGAGUAACCAUAAGACAGGUGAGAAUCCUGUCGGCCGAAAGAGCGAGGUUUCCUGGGCUAUGGUAAUCAUCCCAGGGUUAGUCGGGCCUAAGCCGAGGCGUUUAGCGUAGGCGAUGGACAUCAGGUUAAUAUUCCUGAACUAGUCAAACUUUGUAUGCAGUUAGCGAUGAGAUAGGUGGAGCGGAUUCAUGGUUUAUCCGUUCAAGUGAUAGAGGAAUCUUGAUCGAGUAAAAGUGAACCUACGGGUUUACGAUUCCGCUGAAGGCAUUGACCAGAAAAGCUGACAUACGCAUGGGUUUGGCUACCCGUACCGCAAACCGACACAGGUGCUCGAGUCGAGGAGACUAAGGCUUACGAGAGAAUGAUUGCUAAGGAACUCGGCAACACAGCGACCGUAACUUCGGAAUAAGGUCUGCCUACAUUUGUAGGCCGCAGCUAAAGAGCCCACGGAACUGUUUAUCAAAAACUCAGGUCUCUGCUAACACGAAAGUGGAUGUAUAGGGGCUGAAACCUGCCCGGUGCCGGAAGGUUAAGGGGAUUGCUUCACGGUGAGAACUGAAGCCCCGGUGAACGGCGGCGGUAACUAUAACCGUCCUAAGGUAGCGAAAUUCCUUGUCAGGUAAGUUCUGACCCGCACGAAUGGUUAAAUCAUGUGGGCACUGUCUCAGCAAUUAUCUCGGUGAAAAUGCAUUGGCGGUAAAGAUGCCGUCUGUCCGCACCAGGACGAAAAGACCCCGUGGAGCUUCACUACAGCUUUACAUUGUUGUGGGUUCUAACUUGUGUAGUAUAGGUGGGAGACUUUGAAGCAGAUACGCUAGUAUUUGUGGAGUCAUCAGUGAAAUACCACCCCCGUUAGGAUCUGCAUCUAACCUGUGCCGUUAUCCGGUAUAGGGACCGUGUAUGGUUGGUAGUUUAACUGGGGCGGUUGCCUCCUAAAGAGUAGCGGAGGCGUUCAAAGGUUGGCUAGCUACGGAUGGAAAUCGUAGUGGUAGUGUAUACGCAUAAGCCAGCUUGACUGUGAGGAGUACAUUCCGAUCAGAUGCGAAAGCAGGAGUAAGUGAUCCGCUGGACGAACCAUUGGUUCAUGAAUGUGGGAUUGCCAGCGCAAACGGACAAAAGUUACCCCGGGGAUAACAGGCUGAUAGCGCCCAAUAGUUCACAUAGACGGCGCUGUUUGGCACCUCGAUGUCGGCUCAUCACAUCCUGGAGGGGGAGCACCUUCCAAGG